GAUGAACGCUGGCGGCGUGCUUAACACAUGCAAGUCGAACGGAAAGGCCCAAGCUUGCUUGGGUACUCGAGUGGCGAACGGGUGAGUAACACGUGGGUGAUCUGCCCUGCACUUCGGGAUAAGCCUGGGAAACUGGGUCUAAUACCGGAUAGGACCACUUCUUGGAUGUUGUGGUGGAAAGUUUUUUCGGUGUGGGAUGAGCUCGCGGCCUAUCAGCUUGUUGGUGGGGUAAUGGCCUACCAAGGCGUCGACGGGUAGCCGGCCUGAGAGGGUGUACGGCCACAUUGGGACUGAGAUACGGCCCAGACGCCUACGGGAGGCAGCAGUGGGGAAUAUUGCACAAUGGGCGCAAGCCUGAUGCAGCGACGCCGCGUGGGGGAUGACGGCCUUCGGGUUGUAAACUCCUUUCGCUAGGGACGAAGCGUUUUGUGACGGUACCUGGAGAAGAAGCACCGGCUAACUACGUG
This 467-nucleotide ribosomal RNA is filed under the name uncultured bacterium. Its description in RNAcentral is "partial 16S ribosomal RNA". It matches the Rfam family "Bacterial small subunit ribosomal RNA", at positions 28 to 507 of the family's 1533-position model. The record is from RNAcentral.